AAGCAUGUCAGAAGGACACUUUUUGGUUAAUUCCUUUUAUCUUUCCCAGGCUUCAUAGAGGGAUUUGCCUUCCUUCUGUUUAAAGGUUUGGACUUCCACUCUAAGCUU
Molecule: small nucleolar RNA, 108 nt
Organism: Arachis duranensis
Lineage: Eukaryota; Viridiplantae; Streptophyta; Magnoliopsida; Fabales; Fabaceae
Source: RefSeq, a predicted model, not a curated record